AGCUCCUGCUGCGGUGGCAGACAUGGGAGAGACACGCAAGCUGCAAAGGGAAGCAGAGUCAAAUUAAAGCCUCGCAACCACGGCUCGUGGCGCUGCGGAUGGGGCGUCCCUCCCUCCCUCGGCUUGAUGAAGGUGGGUGUGAGAUCCCACAGGACUGUCUGGAAGAGAGCCCGUGGAAGUCACUGUAUUUUGCAGAAGCUGGAGGCGAAGCAGAAGAUUGCAGCCUGACACUUCUGCCUCUUUUCCCUCUGGGCAUAUCUUCCUGGGUCUUUGCAGGUCAUGGCUAGACUGUUGUGGUGGGGUAACUGAAACAAACUGACGAGAUUGAUGGAAAAAAUCAAAAAGCAAGGGUGGAAUUUCAAAGCCUGGAUCAUAGAAGAAGGAAUGUUGCAUGACAAAAGCUGCUGAGGCAGAGCUGAGAACAGAAAUCCAGAGGAGAGACAGUGCCCAUACGCAAUGUUCCAAGUGAGUGUGGAGAAGAGAAAUUGUCUAACACCUUCCAGUUCAAGAAUAACCGCAUAUGACAUGACUCCAAGGGGGAAAAUAGAACAAGGCUACGGUGGCUGAGGAAAUCAAGACAGCAGCUGGAAAAGAACUGUUUUGAAAGCCCAGUGGUGCUUCACCCCAUCCCUGUGAUGGUGGGGACAUCACAU
Molecule: long non-coding RNA, 653 nt
Filed under: Mus caroli (Ryukyu mouse)
Lineage: Eukaryota; Metazoa; Chordata; Mammalia; Rodentia; Muridae
Description: lncRNA (MGP_CAROLIEiJ_G0005717.1)
Source: RNAcentral